AUCCUCGUAACUGGUGCCCAACCACAGUCUUCAUUUCUCACUGAAUACAAGAAAAUAAAAGACCAAAGGUAAAGAUUCCUUGGCCUUAUAUCACUGAGAAUCCUAGAGAACAUCUCUGACUCAUGGCUACAUUUGCAUGGAUCCUAGCAAAAUAAGAUCAUUGCUCUCAUUAAGUAAAAGAAGGUGCUCUCCGGCCUCAGUCUCCCUUUAGAGAGAACACCCACAGAAAAAUUAAAUUGUUCCUGGGUAACGCUGAUCAAAAUCCACGUAUAGCUGUGAUAUCACCAUGACAUGAGCAGCUUUGCACCACCACACCCUUCCACCAUGAUGUUCCUGCCUUGGAGCCAGCUAACCAUGGACUAAACCCUCUGAAACUGACUACAAUGCAGUUUCUACAAAAACUGAGACCUUCUUUACUUCAUCACUGAGCCUAGAAUAUCUAGAACCCUACAGCCCUUAAAAGAUAUUAGUUGGAAGAAUGUAUAGUCCUAAGAUAUUAUCAUUUCUCCUGUGACCUAACAUGCAUUUAUAUGAUAAAGUUUUCUGUUACCAUUUGGGAAUUAAUUUAUAUAUUUUACUCUACAGAAGUUAUGAGUCUGUCUUCCAAGUUUUACCUCUGAGCAGCAAUAUAGUCACUUUCAUAAGUCAUAAAG
Molecule: long non-coding RNA, 653 nt
Organism: Heterocephalus glaber (naked mole-rat)
Lineage: Eukaryota; Metazoa; Chordata; Mammalia; Rodentia; Bathyergidae
Source: Ensembl